RNAcentral lists this ribosomal RNA (255 nucleotides) under uncultured bacterium. Its description in RNAcentral is "partial 16S ribosomal RNA". It matches the Rfam family "Bacterial small subunit ribosomal RNA", at positions 524 to 776 of the family's 1533-position model. The record is from RNAcentral.
UACGAAGGGGGCUAGCGUUGCUCGGAAUCACUGGGCGUAAAGGGCGCGUAGGCGGCGUUUUUAAGUCGGGGGUGAAAGCCUGUGGCUCAACCACAGAAUUGCCUUCGAUACUGGGACGCUUGAGUGUGGUAGAGGUUGGUGGAACUGCGAGUGUAGAGGUGAAAAUUCGUAGAUAUUCGCAAGAACACCGGUGGCGAAGGCGGCCAACUGGACCAUCACUGACGCUGAGGAGCGAAAGCGUGGGUAGCAAACAGG